Molecule: long non-coding RNA, 271 nt
Organism: Chiroxiphia lanceolata (lance-tailed manakin)
Lineage: Eukaryota; Metazoa; Chordata; Aves; Passeriformes; Pipridae
Exons: 2
Source: RefSeq, a predicted model, not a curated record
CAAGUCCUCUGCUUCUACGCAGUUCAGAGUAUGGAUGUGAAGCUGGAGUAACCCAGGAAAAUACAACUAAUGAUGCAUUCCCAAGCUUUGGCAGCAACAGAGGCCAUUUUUGAGCGACAUAUUGACAAAAUCAAAGGCCCAGCAUCCUGGAACACUGGCCUGCUUCAUGAGCUGGAUCACUCAUGGAAUAUGACAGCAUCACAUGUCCUGGAAGACCGUGUUUUGCUGUAGCACAUCUGUCAAAUAAACAAGUGAGACUGGGAGUAAAAGA